GAUACGGGACUCUUCCGAGGCCCCGUGAUUGGAAUGAGUACACUUUAAAUCCUUUAACGAGGAACCAUUGGAGGGCAAGUCUGGUGCCAGCAGCCGCGGUAACUCCAGCUCCAAUAGCGUAUAUUAAAGUUGUUGCGGUUAAAAAGCUCGUAGUCGGAUGUCUGUCUUCGGCCGGGCGGCGCCGCUCUGAAUCAAGGGUGUUGCGUUUCACGCUCUGGGAGCCCGGGUGUCAAAGCCCGACUCUCUUCACGGUCGGACAACAUCGCCGGAGUGGUGGUCGGUGCGUCGUUGUUGUAUCUGCGGCCAGAGUUUUGGAAAGUUCUUUCGGGUUCUUUUUUUUAAUUUUGGUCGUAGUUGACUCGAUUCGCUCCACCCAGUCAAUCGUUCGGGGUGCCCUUCACCGGGUGUCUCGGGCGGCCGGCAACGUUUACUUUGAACAAAUUAGAGUGCUCAAAGCAGGUGUAUCCCAACGCCUGAAUAUCGCAGCAUGGAAUGAUGGAAUAGGACCUCGGUCCGAUUUUGCUGGUCUUUUACUUUUGGACCCGAGGUAAUGGUCAAUAGAGACGGACGGGGGCAUUCGUACUGCGGCGACAGAGGUGAAAUUCUUGGACCGCCGCAAGACGAACAACAGCGAAGGCAUUUGCCAAGAAUGUUUUCCUUGAUCAAGAACGAAAGUUAGAGGUUCGAAGGCGAUCAGAUACCGCCCUAGUUCUAACCAUAAACGAUGCCAACCAGCAAUCCGUCGGAGUUACUCCAAUGACUCGACGGGCAGCUUCCGGGAAACCAAA
RNAcentral lists this ribosomal RNA (788 nucleotides) under Daphnia pulex (common water flea). RNAcentral describes it as "SSU rRNA". It matches the Rfam family "Eukaryotic small subunit ribosomal RNA", at positions 482 to 1102 of the family's 1831-position model. Lineage: Eukaryota; Metazoa; Arthropoda; Branchiopoda; Diplostraca; Daphniidae. The record is from RNAcentral.